Betta splendens (Siamese fighting fish) is the source of this 1028-nucleotide long non-coding RNA. RefSeq lists it as uncharacterized. The transcript is spliced from 4 exons. NCBI's taxonomy places the organism in Eukaryota, Metazoa, Chordata, Actinopteri, Anabantiformes, Osphronemidae. The record is from RefSeq and is a predicted model, not a curated record.
GAUGCUUACUCCACGAGAAUUUCGGCCAGCAGAAACACUAUGACUUUACAACUGUACAAUAUGUAAAAAAAUGUCCAAAUACAUUUAGCUUUGAAAGUUUGGCGUAUAUAUCUCAAUGCAUAAAUGUAUUGUUUACAACCGAAAAUGUUUUAAUUAUGUUUUUAUUAAUCCAAAACAUACCAUUAGUGUAUAGAGUCAUGUUUAUAUAUGCAUGUAUUUGCAAUAAUAGCCAUUUAUUACACUUUAUUAGAGAACUAUCUAGAACUAAACAUUUAUUUCUAACCAUUAUAGAAGAUUAAGCCUGGCCUGUUUCCACUGAGGUAGCUGAAUUACUUCCUAUCAUUAUCAACAGCAACUAGGAUAUUCUGUUUUACAAUAAAGCAGGAACAACUCUGCUAAAGUUGUAGGGUUGCAUUUGGAUAUCACUCACUCAUAAAGUCUAUUGUCAAGAGACUGAUCCUCUUUACGCAGACUAGGUAUUCAGAUUUUUAAGGCUUGGUACUUAAUGGGAUCAGGCCCUAUGUAGGCCUCAUAUGAAAGAUAAUCCUCGCAUCGGUGUGUUUACAUUGGUCGGGAGGAUCUUUGGAGGCUCGGGUCCCUGAUGUCUUCUCCUCGUGAUGCCACUGAGCCGGCUGCAGGGGGUGCUGGUGAAUCGCUACAGGUGCGGCCCUGCCACAUGAGAACGACAGCCUUCCACCGUCCCCAUGAGCAUCCACCUGUUUUCCACCUACCCCGGUGAUGACUGCUGACGAUCCCUGGGACACCAACAGGAGGCAGAACAGUAGCAGGUAGCUGGGCUGCAUGAUGAGGACGGGUUCCUGUGGUCGCCGGUGGUCAGAGAGUGGAAAUGCAGCCGCUGAGGGUCUUCGGUGCGUGUGCGUACGAGUCGACCGCAGAAGGAGAGUGGCCUCCGAACUCAUGUGCUGAGGACUGAGGGCGGUUUAUAAACCCAGCCCGCCAUUCAGAAAACCCUGUGAGUCACUCACGCCAGCAUCUCCUCACAGAAGCUCCAAAAAAAAAAAAAAUAA